UGGGGAAUAUUGGACAAUGGGCGAAAGCCUGAUCCAGCCAUGCCGCGUGUAUGAAGAAGGCCUUCGGGUUGUAAAGUACUUUCAGCGGGGAGGAAGGCGAUAAGGUUAAUAACCUUGUCGAUUGACGUUACCCGCAGAAGAAGCACCGGCUAACUCCGUGCCAGCAGCCGCGGUAAUACGGAGGGUGCAAGCGUUAAUCGGAAUUACUGGGCGUAAAGCGCACGCAGGCGGUCUGUCAAGUCGGAUGUGAAAUCCCCGGGCUCAACCUGGGAACUGCAUUCGAAACUGGCAGGCUAGAGUCUUGUAGAGGGGGGUAGAAUUCCAUGUGUAGCGGUGAAAUGCGUAGAGAUCUGGAGGAAUACCGGUGGCGAAGGCGGCCCCCUGGACAAAGACUGACGCUCAGGUGCGAAAGCGUGGGGAGCAAACA
This 427-nucleotide ribosomal RNA is filed under the name uncultured bacterium. RNAcentral describes it as "partial 16S ribosomal RNA". It matches the Rfam family "Bacterial small subunit ribosomal RNA", at positions 355 to 774 of the family's 1533-position model. The record is from RNAcentral.